CUGCAUGUGUCCCAAAUUUUAAAAGUGUCAGACAGACGAAGCUCUGAGCUGGCGUGAAGAACACGGUCAUCAACUCUCGUUUAACUAGAUAACCCCUAAGAUUAUCUUUAAAAUAUUACAGAUAUUUGCCCCCUAAUUUUCAAACCAUAAUUUACAGCAUCAUGAAACAAAUCGUGUUCAUUUUUUAUGUCUGCUUCAUAUUUAUUUCCCUGUUCUCCGUUCUACUAUUGCUGCCGGGUAAAGAUGUCAAGACGAUUACAAGGCCGGCUGAAUCGUUCCAAUCUGACGAGGUGGACCCGAUCGCGGAAAAAAUUGAUUACUUAUUGACGGUGUCCAUAUCAAAUAGAAAUCCCUCCUCGUGACCCAUAACAAAAUCCGAUACAUGAACACUGGGACCAUUUUCUGCUCCGACUUCCGCCCGUUCCUCACCACCGCCACAGGUUGGAGGGAUAAUAUAAAUCCUGGGUUCUGGAGGAGGUGGAAUAUGUACGUGCACAGGUAUGUACACUUGCCCUUUGCUGUGGUUGUGUUGAGUCAUGAUUUCCAUGAAAAAUAGCAUCACUGUAAAAAGGAGGAGGUUGACCCUCUUCCUAAGAAAGUAGACCUGGGUCGAGUUGUUGUAGGGGUGGAGCACUGGCAACGAACCCCUUGUUUUCCAUGAUUUAUUUAUUUAUAGUUCGCUUUCUUCUUAAUUCUGCAUUUACAGUGUUUUAUGUAUAAAAUUUUUUAAAUAUUUUACACCUUAAAUUACUUAUUUUGGGGUCCAUGCGAAUUUUUAAAAUUAUACCCAAAGACGGGAAUGUGAUGUGUGUAGGUAUUGACUUGUCCAACUUUUAAGGAAUCUUUUAGUAAUAAAUUUGUUAACGUUUGUUAAAUAAAAUGCA
Molecule: long non-coding RNA, 884 nt
Organism: Folsomia candida
Lineage: Eukaryota; Metazoa; Arthropoda; Collembola; Entomobryomorpha; Isotomidae
Exons: 3
Source: RefSeq, a predicted model, not a curated record